Molecule: unclassified non-coding RNA, 1340 nt
Filed under: Homarus americanus (American lobster)
Lineage: Eukaryota; Metazoa; Arthropoda; Malacostraca; Decapoda; Nephropidae
Description: nADH-ubiquinone oxidoreductase chain 4
Source: RNAcentral
AUGUUAAAGUUCAUUUUUAUAAAUAUUUUAUUGAUUGCGUUUGUUAAAGAGUGGUGGUUUAUUCAAAUUUCUUUAUUUUUAAUGUGUUUUAUUUUUAGGUGUUUUAUGGGACAUGACUUUUCUGUUUCGGGGUUGGGAUUAAGAUUAGGUUCUGAUCAUUUAGGUUUUAUUUUAAUUAUAUUAAGAAUAUGAAUUAUGGCACUAGUUAUUUGUGCAAGUCAAAGAAUUAAAAAAACAAAUAAUUCUCCUAGAGGGUUUUUAGUUGUAAAUUUACUAUUGCUGUUAGCAUUGCUUUUAACGUUUUCAGCAACAGAUUAUCUUUUGUUUUAUAUUAGAUUUGAAAGAUCUUUAAUUCCUACUUUAAUUUUAAUUUUAGGCUGGGGUUAUCAACCUGAGCGAAUUCAGGCUGGAGUUUAUAUGUUAUUUUAUACAUUGUUUGCCUCUUUGCCUUUGCUUGUUUCUCUAUUAAGAUUUUACAGAUUGGGUGGUAGUCUAACAAUAGGUUUAGUACCAUGCGCUGAAAGAUCUAAUUUUAUUACUUUUAUGUGGUAUUUUUGUACAAUUUUUGCUUUUGUAGUAAAACUUCCUAUAUAUCUAGUUCAUUUAUGACUUCCAAAGGCUCAUGUUGAAGCUCCUGUAGCUGGAUCUAUAAUUUUGGCUGGUGUUUUAUUAAAAUUAGGUGGUUAUGGUUUGAUUCGUGUUCUCUUUUUAUUUCCUGAAGUAAAUAAAAUAUUUUCUUGAUUUUGAGUUAGUGUGAGAAUUUUAGGUGGGGUAAUUGUAAGAUUUAUAUGUUUACGUCAAGUAGAUAUUAAGUCAUUGAUUGCUUAUUCUUCAGUAGCCCAUAUAGGCUUGGUAUUGAGAGGACUAGUAGUUUUUGGUUGAUGGGGUCAAACUGGAGCUGUAGUAAUUAUGGUGGGGCAUGGAUUAUGCUCGUCUGGACUUUUUUGUCUUGCUAACAUAGUUUACGAGCGUUUAGGAAGUCGAAGAUUAUUGGUGAAUAAAGGUUUAUUGAAUUUUAUACCUAGUUUGGGAUUGUGGUGAUUUUUAUUGAGGAUUGGUAAUAUAGCAGCUCCUCCUACAAUUAAUUUAUUAGGAGAAAUUAGACUAAUUUUAAGUGUAGUAAGAUGAAGAAAGCUUAGCAUGUUUGGGAUUGGUUUAUUGUCUUUUUUUAGAGCUGCGUACACUUUAUACAUAUAUUCGAUAAGACAGCAUGGGUUGUUUUUUAAUUCAUUGUUUUCUUGUUGUUCUGGAAAAGUUUCUGAAUACUUAGUUUUAAUAUUACAUUGAUUGCCUUUAAAUGUUCUUAUUGUAAAAACGGCUAUAAUUUUACCAAGAUUUUA